RNAcentral lists this ribosomal RNA (253 nucleotides) under uncultured bacterium. RNAcentral's name for it is "partial 16S ribosomal RNA". It matches the Rfam family "Bacterial small subunit ribosomal RNA", at positions 524 to 776 of the family's 1533-position model. The record is from RNAcentral.
UACGUAGGGUGCGAGCGUUAAUCGGAAUUACUGGGCGUAAAGCGUGCGCAGGCGGUUCGCUGUGUCGGUCGUGAAAGCCCCGGGCUUAACCUGGGAAUGGCGAUGGAAACUGGCGAGCUGGAGUGCGGCAGAGGGGGGUGGAAUUCCGCGUGUAGCAGUGAAAUGCGUAGAGAUGCGGAGGAACACCGAUGGCGAAGGCAGCCCCCUGGGUCGACACUGACGCUCAGGCACGAAAGCGUGGGGAGCAAACAGG